This 447-nucleotide ribosomal RNA is filed under the name uncultured bacterium. RNAcentral's name for it is "partial 16S ribosomal RNA". It matches the Rfam family "Bacterial small subunit ribosomal RNA", at positions 29 to 523 of the family's 1533-position model. The record is from RNAcentral.
AACGAACGCUGGCGGCAGGCUUAACACAUGCAAGUCGAACGCCCCGCAAGGGGAGUGGCAGACGGGUGAGUAACGCGUGGGAAUCUACCUAGUUCUACGGAACAACAGUUGGAAACGACUGCUAAUACCGUAUACGCCCUACGGGGGAAAGAUUUAUCGGAAUUAGAUGAGCCCGCGUAAGAUUAGCUAGUUGGUGGGGUAAUGGCCUACCAAGGCGACGAUCUUUAGCUGGUCUGAGAGGAUGAUCAGCCACACUGGGACUGAGACACGGCCCAGACUCCUACGGGAGGCAGCAGUGGGGAAUAUUGGACAAUGGGCGCAAGCCUGAUCCAGCCAUGCCGCGUGAGUGAUGAAGGCCUUAGGGUUGUAAAGCUCUUUCACCGAUGAAGAUAAUGACGGUAGUCGGAGAAGAAGCCCCGGCUAACUUCGUGCCAGCCGCCGCCGUAA